GGCAGGCCCGUUUCAAAACUUUAGGGUUUUUUGGCAAGUAUAAACGCUGCGGCUUCUCCGACAGGUCGUUUCUCUUCCGUUGCCGCACGUCCUUCGCUUCUCCUCCACAGGGAGAUGCAGACAGUGGCGUGGACAGGCUGUGGCAGAAGAAGAAGGUCGAAGCCAAACAAAUCUAAGGAUGCUUUAUUAAGCUGUCGUUCUCCUUUGUUAUUUAGUUGAAAGAAAGAUCAUCGGAAUUACUGAAGUAAUGAUUUUUUUGCUUGACCCUUGGUUAUAAUGCUAUUGCUUGUCAUACAUUUUUCUCUAGUGAGAUACUAUAAAGUAUAAACCUUUCACA
Brassica napus (rape) is the source of this 337-nucleotide long non-coding RNA. RefSeq lists it as uncharacterized. The record is from RefSeq and is a predicted model, not a curated record. The transcript is spliced from 2 exons. Lineage: Eukaryota; Viridiplantae; Streptophyta; Magnoliopsida; Brassicales; Brassicaceae.